GAUCCUGGCUCAGAUUGAACGCUGGCGGCAGGCUUAACACAUGCAAGUCGAACGAUGACUCUCUAGCUUGCUAGAGAAGAUUAGUGGCGGACGGGUGAGUAACAUUUAGGAAUCUACCUAGUAGUGGGGGAUAGCUCGGGGAAACUCGAAUUAAUACCGCAUACGACCUACGGGUGAAAGGGGGCGCAAGCUCUUGCUAUUAGAUGAGCCUAAAUCAGAUUAGCUAGUUGGUGGGGUAAAGGCCC
RNAcentral lists this ribosomal RNA (245 nucleotides) under uncultured bacterium. RNAcentral describes it as "partial 16S ribosomal RNA". It matches the Rfam family "Bacterial small subunit ribosomal RNA", at positions 15 to 266 of the family's 1533-position model. The record is from RNAcentral.